This 501-nucleotide ribosomal RNA is filed under the name uncultured bacterium. RNAcentral describes it as "bacterial SSU rRNA". It matches the Rfam family "Bacterial small subunit ribosomal RNA", at positions 28 to 531 of the family's 1533-position model. The record is from RNAcentral.
GAUGAACGCUGGCGGCGCGCCUCAAACAUGCAAGUCGAGCGGGGCUAUGUAAUAUCGCAAGGUAGAACAUAGCCUAGCGGCGAACGGGUGAGUAACACGUGGGUAACCUGCCUGGAAGACAGGGAUAACGAUUCGAAAGGGUCGCUAAUACCUGAUAAUAUCCUUUCAUCGCAUGGUGAUAGGAAGAAAGGGGAAACCCGCUUUCAGAUGGGCCCGCGUCCCAUCAGCUAGUUGGUAAGGUAAAGGCUUACCAAGGCGACGACGGGUAGCCGGUCUGAGAGGAUGUACGGCACACUGGGACUGAGAUACGGCCCAGACUCUACGGGAGGCAGCAGUUGGGAAUCUUAGGCAAUGGACGAAAGUCUGACCUAGCGACGCCGCGUGAGGGAAGAAGGCCUUCGGGUUGUAAACCUCUGUCAUGGGGGAAGAAGUAAGUGACGGUACCCCAAGAGGAAGCCCCUGCUAACUACGUGCCAGCAGCCGCGGUAAAAGUACUCUAAU